Oncorhynchus nerka (sockeye salmon) is the source of this 1873-nucleotide long non-coding RNA. RefSeq lists it as uncharacterized. The transcript is spliced from 2 exons. NCBI's taxonomy places the organism in Eukaryota, Metazoa, Chordata, Actinopteri, Salmoniformes, Salmonidae. The record is from RefSeq and is a predicted model, not a curated record.
GGAAGAAUUGGCCCGCACUGCAUGAUGGGACAUGCUCACCUUUUUAUUUUUUCCUGUCAUCCAAAGCAGCUCAAUGAUCCAAAUACAGGAGCAUGGGCAUGUGUGCCGUUAGCACAGUUACACCACAGACAAAUCAUGUGAACCAGGGAAAUAAUAUAAACAUUAUUAGAAAAAUAUAUCUUAAUACAAAACAAACAAUCAGGUGUUUGCAUGGCAGGCCUGGGACUCUCAGGGAGCCUUCUUUCCAGCACCAUGGACCUUUCUCUGCUCAUUGUUGAGUGUUCCUGAGUAUAUUGUUUAUGUGUAUCUUGUCAGACUCGUCAAGAUCUGACUUGCAUCUGAAACGUUGUUGGUUUAGGAUACACUGGACUAGGAGGUCACCAGGAUCAAGUUUCUCCUGAUGGUGAACAAGCAGGGCCAGACCUGCCUGUCUAAGUACUAUGAGCGGGUGGACACGGGAAAGAGGCCUUCUCUGGAGGCUGAUGUUGUCAAUGGAUGCCUGUCACACUAAAAAGAAGAGGUCUCUAUUUCAAUUGUUAUUUUUACUCUAUUAGAAAUCUUAAUCAAUCAAAUGCAUUUUGUAGAGACCUUUUUACAUCAGAAGUUGUCACAAAAUGCUUUACAGAUACCCAACCUUAAACCCCCAAAAGCAAGCAAGCAAUGUGAAGGCAGAAGCACAGUGGCUUGGAAAAACUAGUUUUUUGUUGUUUACAUUCAGGGGUAGGACACAACAGUGAGAAGAUGUACAUAACUGGUGACAGGGGCAUGGACGAGACAAUACAGAACAGAAAGAAAUCCAGUUCAAUAACCUACAUCCAUCCCUUUAAUUUAUCAUUUUGGUUAUGCCAUUCUUCCUGCUGAGUUAGUUUGCCACUGCCAGUCCACAUGCAUUUUAUACAGGUGACACAAAACUCAUUCUGCUAUUCAAACAUCCAAGUAACUAUUAUGUUCUAUCUAGUGCUCUUUUAUGGACUUCAAACUAGUAUAUAGACAGUAUGCUGCUCUCUUCAUAGUUGUUGGUAUCAGUGACACUGAGGUGAGAGUUAAUAAUUUUACUGUCAUGUGUAAAAAAUAGUGUUAUUAGAUUAAGGUUGAGAUUUUAUUGAGAGUAUUCAUGAUUCAUGGUGUAGGAUGUCUUUCUUUCCCACAGAAUGAACUGUCAGACAACUUUGUUGAGGUUCUUGACAAGUACUUUGGUCAUGUGGUGAGUUCAGAGUCUCUUUUUGUUCACUACUUCAGCACAUUCUGGCUGUAUGCUAGAUUUACUGCAUGUCAACUAUCCAACCACCUGUGCAUAGCUCAGCAUCUCAAAGGUCAGCUUUUUCUGGGACAAAAACACAUUACUCUAAACGGAGCAUUCCCCAUUAGAGAAGCCAAUACUAUACAUUUAAGUUGUUUUCCAUUGGCAGAUGUAUCAUUGGUUUGCUUAAUGUAUCUCUAUUUUGCCUUUUGUAUUGAUGUGAAUAUUCUUGUAAUUACAGGGCUCAUCCGCAAAAGAGUCCUUUGUCUCAGCAUGACUCCCUGUUAAAUUAAAGGUUAAAUAACUACAAUAAAAAUAACCAUGUAACUGCUUUGUUUUUCUCUCCUAACAAGAGUGAAUUGGAUGUAUCCUUUACAAAUGAUAAGUUUUGUUAUUAACCAGUUUGAGGAAAUUCAUUGAAACAGAUGCUGGGGUUGUCUGCGUGUCCACCCCUCACAUUAGGGGCUAGUCACGUGGCUAGCCGACUGUGCCAUUCCAGGUCUGGCAUUUAAUGCGGCACUGCACAGACUGGUGUCUGUGCAGACUGAAAUUCCAUGACUGAAACUUAAGUUAAUUCAUCCUUUUACAGAAAGACAAUCAUUUUGUACAUGUAUUAAACUGAGUUUGACAUUU